This 143-nucleotide microRNA precursor is filed under the name Gossypium hirsutum (cotton). RNAcentral describes it as "MIR7502 microRNA precursor family". It matches the Rfam family "MIR7502 microRNA precursor family". The record is from Rfam by way of RNAcentral. Lineage: Eukaryota; Viridiplantae; Streptophyta; Magnoliopsida; Malvales; Malvaceae.
UGUUAAAAAUUUCAUCAUUUAUACGGUUAAAAAUCAGUGUAGUUGACAAAAUAAUAAAAAAGUGACACGUGGUAUGCCACGUGUACCUAAUUUUGAUGUAUGAUGACCUUUUUUAACUGUAAAACUGAAUGGAAUUUUUAACU